AUUGAACGCUGGCGGCAUGCCUUACACAUGCAAGUCGAACGGCAGCACGGGAGCAAUCCUGGUGGCGAGUGGCGAACGGGUGAGUAAUAUAUCGGAACGUGCCCAGUCGUGGGGGAUAACGUAGCGAAAGCUACGCUAAUACCGCAUACGAUCUAUGGAUGAAAGCGGGGGAUCGCAAGACCUCGCGCGAUUGGAGCGGCCGAUAUCAGAUUAGGUAGUUGGUGAGGUAAAGGCUCACCAAGCCGACGAUCUGUAGCUGGUCUGAGAGGACGACCAGCCACACUGGGACUGAGACACGGCCCAGACUCCUACGGGAGGCAGCAGUGGGGAAUAUUGGGACAAUGGGGGAAACCCUGAUCCAGCGAUGCCGCGUGAGUGAAGAAGGCCCUUCGGGUUGUAAAGGCUCUUUCAGAGGGGAUGGAU
Molecule: ribosomal RNA, 423 nt
Filed under: uncultured bacterium
Lineage: Bacteria
Description: bacterial SSU rRNA
Rfam family: Bacterial small subunit ribosomal RNA
Source: RNAcentral